RNAcentral lists this ribosomal RNA (253 nucleotides) under uncultured bacterium. RNAcentral's name for it is "partial 16S ribosomal RNA". It matches the Rfam family "Bacterial small subunit ribosomal RNA", at positions 524 to 776 of the family's 1533-position model. The record is from RNAcentral.
UACAGAGACCUCAAACGUUGUCCGGAAUUAUUGGGCGUAAAGAGCUCGUAGGCGGUCUGUCACGUCGGCUGUGAAAACCCGAGGCUCAACCUCGGGCCUGCAGUCGAUACGGGCAAACUAGAGUACUGCAGGGGAGACUGGAAUUCCUGGUGUAGCGGUGAAAUGCGCAGAUAUCAGGAGGAACACCGGUGGCGAAGGCGGGUCUCUGGGCAGUAACUGACGCUGAGGAGCGAAAGCGUGGGGAGCGAACAGG